RNAcentral lists this transfer RNA (66 nucleotides) under Osmia bicornis (red mason bee). RNAcentral describes it as "tRNA-Glu". The record is from RNAcentral. Lineage: Eukaryota; Metazoa; Arthropoda; Insecta; Hymenoptera; Megachilidae.
UUUUAUAUAGUUUAAAAAAAACAUUAUAAUUUCAAUAUAAUAUUAAUAAUUAAUUAUUUAUAAAAA